RNAcentral lists this ribosomal RNA (1148 nucleotides) under uncultured organism. RNAcentral's name for it is "bacterial SSU rRNA". It matches the Rfam family "Bacterial small subunit ribosomal RNA", at positions 156 to 1307 of the family's 1533-position model. The record is from RNAcentral.
ACGAGGAUUAAUACUGCGUAACAUUAUUGAAUCGCAUGGUUUAAUAAUCAAAUCUACGGAGGUUACAGAUGGGCAUGCGUGCCAUUAGUUAGAUGGUGAGGUAACGGCUCACCAUGACAUCGAUGGCUAGGGGUUCUGCAAGGAAGAUCCCCCACACUGGUACUGAGACACGGACCAGACUCCUACGGGAGGCAGCAGUGAGGAAUAUUGGUCAAUGGAGGCAACUCUGAACCAGCCAAGCCGCGUGAAGGAAGACUGUUCUAUGAAUUGUAAACUUCUUUUGUGGUAGAGUAAAGAUAGCUACGUGUAGUUAUUUGCAAGUAUACCAUGAAUAAGCAUCGGCUAACUCCGUGCCAGCAGCCGCGGUAAUACGGAGGAUGCAGGCGUUAUCCGGAUUUAUUAGGUUUAAAGGGUGUCUAGGCUGCCACAUAAGUCAGGGGUGAAAGUCGGUUGUUCAACAAUCGAAUUGCCUUUGAAACUGUGUGGCUCGAGUAUAGAUGAGGUAGGCGGAAUGUGUAGUGUAGCGGUGAAAUGCAUAGAUAUUACACAGAACCCCAAUUGCGAAGGCAGCUUACCAAACUAUUACUGACGCUGAAGCACGAAAGCGUGGGUAGCGAACAGGACUAGAUACCCUGGUAGUCCACGCCGUAAACUAUGCUCACUCGCUGUUGGCAAUAGAUCGUCAGCGGCUAAGGGAAACCGAUAAGUGAGCCACCUGGGGAGUACGAUCGCAAGAUUGAAACUCAAAGGAAUUGACGGGGGCCCGCACAAGCGGAGGAACAUGUGGUUUAAUUCGAUGAUACGCGAGGAACCUUACCUGGGCUUAAAUGUAGAGUGCAUAAAGUGGAAACAUUUUUUUCCUUCGGGACUCUUUACAAGGUGCUGCAUGGUUGUCGUCAGCUCGUGCCGUGAGGUGUCGGGUUAAGUCCCAUAACGAGCGCAACCCCUAUCGUUAGUUACCAGCACGUAGUGGUGGGGACUCUAGCGAAACUGCCGGUGUAAACCGUGAGGAAGGUGGGGAUGACGUCAAAUCAGCACGGCCCUUAUGUCCAGGGCUACACACGUGUUACAAUGGUCGGUACAGUGGGCAGCCACAUAGCAAUAUGGAGCUAAUCUCAAAAGCCGAUCUCAGUUCGGAUUGGAGUCUG